UGUUUAUGUAAGUAAUUAUUACUAAGCAGAUAUUAUGUUGCAUUUGUGUGCAUAACACUACACUAUUGAUUCUUGGAGAACGUUUGUAGUUUUGUUUUGUUGAUUUAAUAGGGUUAUUUUUGCAACCCUUGUUACUUUAACAGGAAUCUGAGAAGUUGUUACUAUUUGAUUACCUACUAACCCAUUAAGACACUAGACACAUGGAUGUGUCCUAAUCCUAACCCCCCCCCACACACACACACACAGCAUUUUAAAUGUUAUAGUUUGGGUUUUGAUAAUGAGGCCCUUUUCUGUAGUCGGACUUUACUUAUUUUUAUCUAACUACGCCCUUUUGUAAGCCAAAACUGACUAGCAUUACUGCAAUGACUACAAGUUCACAGUAAUUGUGCUAAUGCUGUUGUAACUUUCUUCAAACUGCACGCAGAUGCAUAAACUUAGUUUCCACAAGUUCAUCAGACUCUGAAAUUAAGGGUCACUUUGCCAAAAACCUAAACUCUAACAACAAACUCCAUUCUCCAGACUAAAGGCAUAAUAUAAUAAACACACACACAUACACACACACACACAAAGAUUCGCACACAGCUCUUUAAGAUGGUUACCCUGCUCGACAGAACUGUGACAAUAGCUGUGAUAGUUAUUUAAAAAAUAUCAUGUUAUUUAUUAUAAUGAUCAUGUUUAAAUCAUGAUAUUAUGUACUAUAUUGAUCAUGUUAAUGAUGCCGAUUAUCAAGAACCUGGCUGAUGCUAUUUUCAGAGUUUGUUUACACACAAUAAAGACAUGACGUAAGAAAAUCCAAAGUUGUCUUUUUCUUAACCAAAUGCUUUCUCUUCACACAUGUAUCCAACCCAAUUGCAACGAUUCCCCAAUGGGGUUGUAGCAAGUCUUCACCCAAGUAAUCUCAUUUUACAAGUAAAACAUCCAUGCAACAUCAAUCAGUUUAGUGGGGAUUUGCUUUUAGAUCCUUAUUUAGUGAACACAUUUUACAGCUGGUGGUGUUGAAUUGUUGGAUAAACUACAAGUGUGUUUUGCUUACUGGCAUGUGCUGUUGAGUUUUGGCCACAUAAAGGAUAAAUGUGCUGGAUUUACAGGAACUUGGUACUAUGCUAUUGGGUUCUGUUACGUAAUUCUGUUAUGUGCUGUUAGGGUCUGAAUGCUAAUCAUUGUGUUCCAGCAGACAUUUAAUUCAACCCAUGCUUAAAAGACAUUUUGAAAAUGAAAUUUUAUAAUUUGGGGAAAUCUGUGUAUUUUCCAAGAUGCAAGUGUAUGCCAUGCAUUAUAAUAAAUUUUACCUCCAAC
This is a long non-coding RNA of Esox lucius (northern pike), 1296 nucleotides long. The record is from Ensembl. NCBI's taxonomy places the organism in Eukaryota, Metazoa, Chordata, Actinopteri, Esociformes, Esocidae.